UACGGAGGAUGCAAGCGUUAUCCGGAAUGAUUGGGCGUAAAGCGUCCGCAGGUGGCAAUGUAAGUCUGCUGUUAAAGAGUCUAGCUCAACUAGAUAAGAGCAGUGGAAACUACAUAGCUAGAGUACGUUCGGGGCAGAGGGAAUUCCUGGUGUAGCGGUGAAAUGCGCAGAUAUCUGGAGGAACACCGGUGGCGAAGGCGGCAUCCUGGACCGACACUGACACUGAGGAGCGAAAGCCAGGGGAGCAAACGGG
This 253-nucleotide ribosomal RNA is filed under the name uncultured bacterium. Its description in RNAcentral is "partial 16S ribosomal RNA". It matches the Rfam family "Bacterial small subunit ribosomal RNA", at positions 524 to 776 of the family's 1533-position model. The record is from RNAcentral.